Molecule: long non-coding RNA, 2638 nt
Organism: Cheilinus undulatus (humphead wrasse)
Lineage: Eukaryota; Metazoa; Chordata; Actinopteri; Labriformes; Labridae
Exons: 3
Source: RefSeq, a predicted model, not a curated record
UUUUCAGGUUUCAGAAAGAUGCUGUCGUCUCGUUCUCCACCAGGGGGCAGUGUAACUUCAGGCAGAGACGAUCCUGCAGCUGAUGGAGAAUUAGAACAAGACUGAAGUUUUCAUUUGAACUCAACAACAACAGAAGAAACAAACUCAAAGACAGAAGAGAAUCAGGAAAGAGCUCCCCUUGGUUAAUGUUAACAUUAAUGUUUGCAAUCAUGGAACUGAUCACAAAUAUACAAUCAAUGUUUUAUGGAACUGACGCAAACUGAAUAAAUAAAAAGUUGAUUGCAAAAAAAAAAUUAUCUCGACAUAAAGAUCGUUUUCUCGUGAUAACGAAUUAAUUAAUAAUGAGUUUGUCUUGAUUUCAACCUACAAGAGCUGCCACUACCUCAGUUUGUUGACCGGGUUUGUUUGGGGGCCACCGGUCAGCAGAUGAGAGGCUGAUGAACUUCCAUCUAUCCGGCUGCUUCAGUUAAGAUCGCCACGGACCAGUUUCUGUCAGCCUUGAGAGAAAGGGGUGUUCCUGAGGAGAACCUGGCAAGAAGUAGCUACGUGAUCUAAGUCAGCAUUCAACGGCAUUGGCUGCUAAUGCUAAAGUGACAAAUGAAGAACUAUUUUGGUCCAAUUUGGUUAUCGAUCAAGACAUGGUAAAGUUCCUUGGAGAAGACAAACUACCUUUAUUCCUGGAUAUGGAGACCGUGUCUUUGCCAGAAACUGGAAGGAGUUAUCAUGAAGUGAAAGGAUAGAGGUUACAGAGCAAAGGAAACAAACUUUGAUAAACAGACUGAGAGAAGAUGAAACGUCCAUCCACCACCCCAGCCACAGCAACCAGCCCCUUUAACUCUAAGCCUACGCUUACUGGAAAUAAGAAUGCAGAGAAGAAGACAAGGAAAACAGAACUUGGCUGGUUGAACUACCAAGAUUCUGUGUACAAACAAGCAAGACGGCCUACCGGGGGUGGAACAAGAGAGAUAGUUGUAAGCAAAGAUGAUACUGUAUCCACCAUUCUUGAAAAAGGUUAAACACUUUUUUCCUCAACGGUACAUCGACUCUGAGUGCAUGCUAUCUGUCACUGGUUCUGAGGAGCCCCUUGAGGGUAGUGUCACAGUUGAAAGUCUGUUAGAGCAAACUAAUUACAAGAUCAUCAGACUAUACAUCUGCACAAAGCCAAAAGAUUGUAGUGAUUCUGAGCUUAGUGAUGCCCUUUUCACCUGACACAUCCAGCACACUUGGGUCAGCUACACAUGCAUCUCCAUCCUCAUCCAGCCAUCACUGCUCUCCCCCACUCCUGCCAAAAGACCUCGGUCCAGCAGUAGGCCUCUGUCUCGGAUCAGUCCCAAUACUACCUCAACUCUCCAAACUACUCCUGCUUCUCAAACAGCAGGCCAGCCUCUUACAGAUCUGUACAGUGAUGAUGAAGUUAUUGUACUUGGAUAUGACACCAACAUGCCUUGUGAACUUGUCCAUGGUCUUGCCUCUACACGUCAAGACCACAGUAAGUCCAGAUUCCUGGCCAGUUAACAGCCAACAAGAAAGCGGCGCAAACACAGUCUUUGAAAAUCAAUUGGAAGCAGCAGUGGAAGCUGAGAUGGAAGAAGAUAUUCACAUGGGGGCUUCUGAGCAGGCUUCAGGUUCCACCAGCACGGUGGCCACUGAUUUCCAGAGAAUAUAGUCAUUGUGAUCCGCAACGCACAUUGUCUUGUGGAUAUGAUUGAAGCAUUUACAGACAACUGCAUACUGGAUGCUAAUAUUUCAAUCAGGCGUGUGCUUGAACGUGGCGAGGUUGAGGCUGGAGUUGGGAGUGGGGUCACCAGAGACUGCCUCACUGAUUGCUGGGAUAUUUUUUAUGCAACAAAGACCUGCGGAACUAACUACAAGAUCCCAGUUUUGCAGUUUGGCCUACUCCUCAGGUACUGCACAGGGUCUGACUUGUUCCUAUCUAAGACCAUUAAAGUCACAUUCACAGCAGAACAGCCACAGUUUGCAACGGGGGCGGAUUCAUCUCUGUGCUGAAGAGUGGAGUGUGGGUGAUGGAUUUGGCCUAAAAAGGCUGUGUUUGCUUAGACAGCAAAUGAAAACUGCACACACACACACACACACACAUUCAGAAGUUUAGCAGCAUCAUCUUUUAUAUCCACAAGUUCUACAUGUGGAGGUCGUUGUAGUAGAAGGAGGUUGAUUUCUGUUUUCAGUGUAUGACCUCUGUAAAAUUCAAAUAUGACAGCUGAAGGCACUGGAAAAGGUCACACUAAAGUUAAUAUUUCAACAAAGACAAUUUAUUUACAAAAAAUAGAAAUGUGACACUGUACUCUUGGCCAAGUUGUAUGUAAUAACCGGCCAACUGUUUGUGGUUGAUGUUUUUCCAGUGUUGUUAAAAUUAAACCUUCACAUAGUUCAUAAAAGGAAGCAUCAAUCUUUCCAAGACUGCAUGGAGGCAGGGAAGGACGUGGAAGUGUGUUAGACUUGAGGGGGAUUAUUUUAAAGGGGAAAACUUGUAGUUUGUAGUUUAGACUUGAAGACAUUUUUGUGACCCCAGUCCUGUUUCUUUUCUGACACACCUCCUAUGUUGGCCUAUAUGCAUUUCAUUUAUAUGCCAAUUUUGAGAAAUGAUUUUGUUUUACUUAAUUUGAUUUAGGACAGUGCA